GAUGAACGCUGGCGGCGUGCCUAAUACAUGCAAGUCGAGCGAACAAACGAGGAGCUUGCUCCUCUGACGUUAGCGGCGGACGGGUGAGUAACACGUGGAUAACCUACCUAUAAGACUGGGAUAACUUCGGGAAACCGGAGCUAAUACCGGAUAAUAUAUUGAACCGCAUGGUUCAAUAGUGAAAGACGGUUUUGCUGUCACUUAUAGAUGGAUCCGCGCCGCAUUAGCUAGUUGGUAAGGUAACGGCUUACCAAGGCGACGAUGCGUAGCCGACCUGAGAGGGUGAUCGGCCACACUGGAACUGAGACACGGUCCAGACUCCUACGGGAGGCAGCAGUAGGGAAUCUUCCGCAAUGGGCGAAAGCCUGACGGAGCAACGCCGCGUGAAUGAUGAAGGUCUUCGGAUCGUAAAACUCUGUUAUUAGGGAAGAACAAAUGUGUAAGUAACUAUGCACGUCUUGACGGUACCUAAUCAGAAAGCCACGGCUAACUACGUG
RNAcentral lists this ribosomal RNA (497 nucleotides) under uncultured bacterium. Its description in RNAcentral is "partial 16S ribosomal RNA". It matches the Rfam family "Bacterial small subunit ribosomal RNA", at positions 28 to 507 of the family's 1533-position model. The record is from RNAcentral.